UGGUGACUAUAGCAAGGAGGUCACACCUGUUCCCAUGCCGAACACAGAAGUUAAGCUCCUUAGCGUCGAUGGUAGUCGAACUUAGAGUAGAACGUUGCCAGGCA
Molecule: ribosomal RNA, 104 nt
Filed under: Staphylococcus aureus
Lineage: Bacteria; Bacillati; Bacillota; Bacilli; Caryophanales; Staphylococcaceae
Source: RNAcentral